This 253-nucleotide ribosomal RNA is filed under the name uncultured bacterium. RNAcentral's name for it is "partial 16S ribosomal RNA". It matches the Rfam family "Bacterial small subunit ribosomal RNA", at positions 524 to 776 of the family's 1533-position model. The record is from RNAcentral.
UACAGAGGUCCCAAGCGUUGUUCGGAUUCACUGGGCGUAAAGGGUGCGUAGGCGGUCGGGUAAGUCUGAUGUGAAAUCUCACAGCUUAACUGUGAAACUGCAUUGGAUACUAUCCGGCUCCAGGAAUGGAGGGGAGACUGGAAUACUUGGUGUAGCAGUGAAAUGCGUAGAUAUCAAGUGGAACACCAGUGGCGAAGGCGAGUCUCUGGACAUUUCCUGACGCUGAGGCACGAAAGCCAGGGGAGCAAACGGG